UGAACUUACAAAGUUGCACUUCUAUCCAAACGAAGAUUCCGCCUGCAAUCAGUCUGAUUGGUUGCGGACAGCCAAUUUCCCAUCUGCUAGGUGAUCCUGCUUUACUAAGAGUUCCAGAUUCCAAGAUGGCCCCAUACAUGCAGCCCAGGAGAAAGGAGCUGCACCAGACACACUGGGAUUUGAGCUUUAACCGUCCUACUAAAGCUUGUCAGCUGUGUGCUCCCCAAAGGAGUACUUCCCUCUCUGUAAAGAGAAAGAAUUAAAGACUCUCCUUCCAGUAAGAGGAUCACAAUGGCCUUUAGCACACACUUCUGCCCUGGCUGUGUGUGCCACUGAAGCAAAACCAACCUCCUGCCAGAGGGUGCCUGGCAAGAGGUCAGCAGCAAGAUAAGCCACUCAAGGAUUACUGGAUCCAGGUGUGGACAAGGGUAGAUCAGAAGCGAGAAGGCCAGGAAAGCAAUUCAAGAGGGCAGGAAACAUCUGGAAGGUUCAUGCCUCCCUUGAGGGCUUUGAGGGGUGGAUGUUGUCCUGUCUAGUAUCAGGAAGCAGGGCUCUAGCCAUGAGCUCCAAAGAGCUGGUACAAAACUGUUUCUGGGGCUUGAAUGGACCAAGCCCAGAGGCCAGUAUCUGAAGCCAGGGAAUAAAGUCAGAGUGGGAGAAGAAAGGGCAAUUAGACACUGAGUUGGGUUGGAAAACUACUGGGCUAGGACCGAGAUUAUAACUUAACAGUCAAAAACAACAAUAAUGGUAAACAUAAGGGGUUCAUUCUUCUAACAUUCAACAAUCUUGCUAUGCUCCAGGGGUACAGAUAAAUAAAACUAUUCCCUUAUGGCAAGGAGCUCACAGAAAGCUGGAGGAAAACAGCCCUGUAAACUCAACAUUUUAACAGAGCAACUGGAAUGCUUUAGGAUAAAGAGGCUCAAAGUACUAUGGGAGCUUCAAGGAAGGGGCCAUUAACUCUGCCUGGGAAUCCUGGGGAAGGCUGCACAGAGACAGAGAUAUUUUGAACUGUGUUUUGAAUGAUGAAUACCAGGUUCCUCUGUUGGAAAGAGAGGCAGGCAUUCCAAACAACAGAGAGAACACCAUGGGCAAAAGCAGAGCUCUGUGCAGGACGGUGGCACAUCAUCAGAGUACGGAGCAUUGGUAGGAGGGGUCCUUAGAGGAGAAGCAGAGGGACAGGAGGAGGGGAGGAGAGGAGAGAGAGGACAGGACCAAGUCAGGGAGAGUCAGCAUAGCUGGUCUGAGUGUGGACCUGACGCACAGGUGGCAAGGGACCAUUGAGAGUCUGUUGACAUUGAUUAGGCUUCUUUGGUUAUAAGCAACAGAAACAAGUUCUCACUUACUUAAACAAGAAAAAAAAAAACAUGUCAUAGAGGGAAAACAGGUGGUUCCCACACCUGUUGGAGAAUGAGGAGUGUAGGGAAGGGACUGGAAUCAGGGCUGGCCUGGACUGCAGACUGCAGGAACAGGCCACAAUGUCUUCAAGGAGCUGUUGCCCCCAGGACAAGUCAAUUUCACCCCACUCCACUGGCCAGCCACAGUCCAGGGAAGAGUCUGACACAGGGCUGGGGUCACAUGCCCGCCUCCUGGUUGGCAGUCUCACCAAGAUCAUCCACUGUGGGUGGUGCUUCCCCAAAAGGAAAUCAGGGUUCUAGAACCAGAAGGGGAUUGACGCAGGUGCUGCCAGAGCUUGAUACUUGUGUGCCUCUAGUGUUUAAGCCAGAAAAUGACAAACACACAGUGCAGGGAUCAGCUAACUUUUCCUGUAAAUGGCCAGAGAGUAAAUAUUUUCAGCCUUGUGGAUCAUAUGGUCUCUAAGGCAGCUACUCAACUUGGCUGUUAUAGCCCAAAGCAGACAGACCACACGUAGACCAAUGUCUUUACUGCUUGCCAGGAAAGCUGUAUUAAUAAAAACAUAUAGUGGGCCCGAUUGACCCCUGGUUUAGAGCCAUAUUAGGGCAUAAGAGAAAUACAGAAGGUUAGGAAACUGAAAGGAAAGAGACCAAACCAGAAACUGGUCUGUCUAUAAAACCACGUCCUGGCCAGGCGCGGUGGGUCACGCCUGUAAUCCCAGCACUUUGGGAGACCAAGGUGGGCAGAUUGCCUGAGCUCAGGAGUUCAAGACCAGCCUGGGCAACAUGGUGAAUCCCCAACUCUACUAAAAUACAAAAAAAUUAGCCAGGCAUGGUGGCAUGCACCUUUAGUCCCAACUACUUGGGAGGCUGAGGCAGGGGAAAUGCUUGAACCCAGGAGGCGGAGGUUGCAGCAGUGAGCCAAGAUCGCGCCACUGUGCUCCAGCCUGGGUGACAGAGUGAGUGAGACUCCGUCUCAAAAAAAAAAAAAAAGCCAACAAAAAAACACAUCCUAUGGGCUGUCAUGCUAAGUGCGUCCUAUGGGGAAAAAAUUCUCUACAUUUUUCCUCUUUGGGACACUCCCAGGCAAAGCAUCCCUUUUACAAACUUCCUUUUCACAAGCAUUAAGUUCUGUUUCUUCAUGCAUUCAACUUGUUUCUUAAUUGUUUGUUUCUGAAGUGGGUUCUAUUUGUUUGGUGUGUUUUGUAAGCCUUUCAUUCUGGCAAAGGUAGCCACAGUUCUCCUCAGCAGGAUACCAGGCACGUAUUGACUGUUUUUUGAAAAAAUUGCACUGUAACCACAGGUUUCCUGGUGUGGUACACCUGUAUUUAUUGGAGUCAAUUUUUAGAAAUACAACAAUACAACUGCUUCCACACUUUCCGGGUUGCUGUUUCACUCACUGCUUGCAACCCUCAGAGCCUUUCUCCAUACUGCUCUAAGACAUGACAGCUUGGGCAAGAAGUGGCUGGAACGUGGAGAUGGCGCGCACAACCGUGGCCAGGCAAAAGCCUAGCCCUCUUUUGUAAUCACCUCUUCGGUGUGAGGCAAUAUGCUGUGAAUUAGUGUGUUCCAGGCCCAGAGUGGUAACAUAUGGUGUAUCUCUGCUCAUUCUACAUUAAAUCCUGACAUUUUGCAGCUGUCAAGAUAAAGCUGUUUAUAUGAGUAACAUUGUAGUUUGUUUAUAG
Molecule: long non-coding RNA, 3037 nt
Filed under: Homo sapiens (human)
Lineage: Eukaryota; Metazoa; Chordata; Mammalia; Primates; Hominidae
Description: HSALNT0129216
Source: RNAcentral